Molecule: ribosomal RNA, 2902 nt
Filed under: Escherichia coli BIDMC 63
Lineage: Bacteria; Pseudomonadati; Pseudomonadota; Gammaproteobacteria; Enterobacterales; Enterobacteriaceae
Description: bacterial LSU rRNA
Rfam family: Bacterial large subunit ribosomal RNA
Source: RNAcentral
UUAAGCGACUAAGCGUACACGGUGGAUGCCCUGGCAGUCAGAGGCGAUGAAGGACGUGCUAAUCUGCGAUAAGCGUCGGUGAGGUGAUAUGAACCGUUAUAACCGGCGAUUUCCGAAUGGGGAAACCCAGUGUGUUUCGACACACUAUCAUUAACUGAAUCCAUAGGUUAAUGAGGCGAACCGGGGGAACUGAAACAUCUAAGUACCCCGAGGAAAAGAAAUCAACCGAGAUUCCCCCAGUAGCGGCGAGCGAACGGGGAGGAGCCCAGAGCCUGAAUCAGUGUGUGUGUUAGUGGAAGCGUCUGGAAAGGCGCGCGAUACAGGGUGACAGCCCCGUACACAAAAAUGCACAUAUUGUGAGCUCGAUGAGUAGGGCGGGACACGUGGUAUCCUGUCUGAAUAUGGGGGGACCAUCCUCCAAGGCUAAAUACUCCUGACUGACCGAUAGUGAACCAGUACCGUGAGGGAAAGGCGAAAAGAACCCCGGCGAGGGGAGUGAAAAAGAACCUGAAACCGUGUACGUACAAGCAGUGGGAGCCUCUUAAUGGGGUGACUGCGUACCUUUUGUAUAAUGGGUCAGCGACUUAUAUUCUGUAGCAAGGUUAACCGAAUAGGGGAGCCGAAGGGAAACCGAGUCUUAACUGGGCGUUAAGUUGCAGGGUAUAGACCCGAAACCCGGUGAUCUAGCCAUGGGCAGGUUGAAGGUUGGGUAACACUAACUGGAGGACCGAACCGACUAAUGUUGAAAAAUUAGCGGAUGACUUGUGGCUGGGGGUGAAAGGCCAAUCAAACCGGGAGAUAGCUGGUUCUCCCCGAAAGCUAUUUAGGUAGCGCCUCGUGAAUUCAUCUCCGGGGGUAGAGCACUGUUUCGGCAAGGGGGUCAUCCCGACUUACCAACCCGAUGCAAACUGCGAAUACCGGAGAAUGUUAUCACGGGAGACACACGGCGGGUGCUAACGUCCGUCGUGAAGAGGGAAACAACCCAGACCGCCAGCUAAGGUCCCAAAGUCAUGGUUAAGUGGGAAACGAUGUGGGAAGGCCCAGACAGCCAGGAUGUUGGCUUAGAAGCAGCCAUCAUUUAAAGAAAGCGUAAUAGCUCACUGGUCGAGUCGGCCUGCGCGGAAGAUGUAACGGGGCUAAACCAUGCACCGAAGCUGCGGCAGCGACACUAUGUGUUGUUGGGUAGGGGAGCGUUCUGUAAGCCUGUGAAGGUGUACUGUGAGGUAUGCUGGAGGUAUCAGAAGUGCGAAUGCUGACAUAAGUAACGAUAAAGCGGGUGAAAAGCCCGCUCGCCGGAAGACCAAGGGUUCCUGUCCAACGUUAAUCGGGGCAGGGUGAGUCGACCCCUAAGGCGAGGCCGAAAGGCGUAGUCGAUGGGAAACAGGUUAAUAUUCCUAUACUUGGUGUUACUGCGAAGGGGGGACGGAGAAGGCUAUGUUGGCCGGGCGACGGUUGUCCCGGUUUAAGCGUGUAGGCUGGUUUUCCAGGCAAAUCCGGAAAAUCAAGGCUGAGGCGUGAUGACGAGGCACUACGGUGCUGAAGCGACAAAUGCCCUGCUUCCAGGAAAAGCCUCUAAGCAUCAGGUAACAUCAAAUCGUACCCCAAACCGACACAGGUGGUCAGGUAGAGAAUACCAAGGCGCUUGAGAGAACUCGGGUGAAGGAACUAGGCAAAAUGGUGCCGUAACUUCGGGAGAAGGCACGCUGAUAUGUAGGUGAAGCGACUUGCUCGUGGAGCUGAAAUCAGUCGAAGAUACCAGCUGGCUGCAACUGUUUAUUAAAAACACAGCACUGUGCAAACACGAAAGUGGACGUAUACGGUGUGACGCCUGCCCGGUGCCGGAAGGUUAAUUGAUGGGGUUAGCGGUAACGCGAAGCUCUUGAUCGAAGCCCCGGUAAACGGCGGCCGUAACUAUAACGGUCCUAAGGUAGCGAAAUUCCUUGUCGGGUAAGUUCCGACCUGCACGAAUGGCGUAAUGAUGGCCAGGCUGUCUCCACCCGAGACUCAGUGAAAUUGAACUCGCUGUGAAGAUGCAGUGUACCCGCGGCAAGACGGAAAGACCCCGUGAACCUUUACUAUAGCUUGACACUGAACAUUGAGCCUUGAUGUGUAGGAUAGGUGGGAGGCUUUGAAGUGUGGACGCCAGUCUGCAUGGAGCCGACCUUGAAAUACCACCCUUUAAUGUUUGAUGUUCUAACGUGGGCCCCUUACCGGGGUUGCGGACAGUGUCUGGUGGGUAGUUUGACUGGGGCGGUCUCCUCCUAAAGAGUAACGGAGGAGCACGAAGGUUGGCUAAUCCUGGUCGGACAUCAGGAGGUUAGUGCAAUGGCAUAAGCCAGCUUGACUGCGAGCGUGACGGCGCGAGCAGGUGCGAAAGCAGGUCAUAGUGAUCCGGUGGUUCUGAAUGGAAGGGCCAUCGCUCAACGGAUAAAAGGUACUCCGGGGAUAACAGGCUGAUACCGCCCAAGAGUUCAUAUCGACGGCGGUGUUUGGCACCUCGAUGUCGGCUCAUCACAUCCUGGGGCUGAAGUAGGUCCCAAGGGUAUGGCUGUUCGCCAUUUAAAGUGGUACGCGAGCUGGGUUUAGAACGUCGUGAGACAGUUCGGUCCCUAUCUGCCGUGGGCGCUGGAGAACUGAGGGGGGCUGCUCCUAGUACGAGAGGACCGGAGUGGACGCAUCACUGGUGUUCGGGUUGUCAUGCCAAUGGCACUGCCCGGUAGCUAAAUGCGGAAGAGAUAAGUGCUGAAAGCAUCUAAGCACGAAACUUGCCCCGAGAUGAGUUCUCCCUGACUCCUUGAGAGUCCUGAAGGAACGUUGAAGACGACGACGUUGAUAGGCCGGGUGUGUAAGCGCAGCGAUGCGUUGAGCUAACCGGUACUAAUGAACCGUGAGGCUUAACCUU